CCUACGGGUGACAGCAGUGAGGAAUAUUGGUCAAUGGGCGUAAGCCUGAACCAGCCAAGUCGCGUGAGGGAUGAAGGUUCUGUGGAUCGUAAACCUCUUUUAUCAGGGAAUAAAGUGUGGGACGUGUCCUGUUUUGUAUGUACCUUAUGAAUAAGGAUCGGAUAACUCCGUUCCAGCAGCCGCGGUAAUACGGAGGGUCCGAGCGUUAUCCGGAUUUGUUGGGUUUAAAGGGUUCGGUGGCGGCGCUUUAAGUCAGCUGUUAAAGGCUGUGGGUUAACCCGAGAAUUGCCGUUGAAACUGGGAGGCUUGAGUAUGUUUGAGGUAGGCGGAAUGCGUGGUGUAGCGGUGAAAUGCGUAGAUAUCACGCAGAACCCCGAUUGCGAAGGCAGCCUGCCGGGCCAUGACUGACGCUGAGGCACGAAAGCGUGGGGAUCAAACAGGAUUAGAUACCCUAGUAGUC
RNAcentral lists this ribosomal RNA (460 nucleotides) under uncultured bacterium. RNAcentral describes it as "partial 16S ribosomal RNA". It matches the Rfam family "Bacterial small subunit ribosomal RNA", at positions 338 to 795 of the family's 1533-position model. The record is from RNAcentral.